CAGCGCCACAAGUGGGGACCAGUAUUAUUGGGCCUAAAGCGUUCGUAGCCGGUUAAAUAAAUCUUCUGUGAAAUUGUUGGGCUUAACCUAACAUCGUGCAGAAGACACUAUUUAACUCGAGACCGGGAGGAGUUAGAGGUAUUCGGAGGGUAGCGGUAAAAUGCAAUAAUCCUACGAGGACCACCAGUGGCGAAGGCGUCUAACUAGAACGGGUCCGACGGUGAGGAACGAAAGCCAGGGGAGCGAACCGGAUUAGAUACCCGAGUAGUCC
Molecule: ribosomal RNA, 271 nt
Filed under: uncultured archaeon
Lineage: Archaea
Description: partial 16S ribosomal RNA
Rfam family: Archaeal small subunit ribosomal RNA
Source: RNAcentral